RNAcentral lists this ribosomal RNA (497 nucleotides) under uncultured bacterium. Its description in RNAcentral is "partial 16S ribosomal RNA". It matches the Rfam family "Bacterial small subunit ribosomal RNA", at positions 28 to 507 of the family's 1533-position model. The record is from RNAcentral.
GAUGAACGCUGGCGGCGUGCCUAAUACAUGCAAGUCGAGCGAACAGACGAGGAGCUUGCUCCACUGACGUUAGCGGCGGACGGGUGAGUAACACGUGGAUAACCUACCUAUAAGACUGGGAUAACUUCGGGAAACCGGAGCUAAUACCGGAUAAUAUAUUGAACCGCAUGGUUCAAUAGUGAAAGACGGAAUUGCUUUCACCUAUAGAUGGAUCCGCGCCGCAUUAGCUAGUUGGUAAGGUAACGGUUUACCAAGGCAACGAUCCGUAGCCGACCUGAGAGGGUGAUCGGCCACACUGGAACUGAGACACGGUCCAGACUCCUACGGGAGGCAGCAGUAGGGAAUCUUCCGCAAGGGGCGAAGGCCUGACGGAGCAACGCCGCUUGAGUGAUGAAGGUCUUCGGAUCGUAAAACUCUGUUAUUAGGGAAGACCAAAUGUGUAAGUAACUAUGCACGUCUUGACGGUACCUAAUCAGAAAGCCACGGCUAACUACGUG